RNAcentral lists this ribosomal RNA (254 nucleotides) under uncultured bacterium. RNAcentral describes it as "partial 16S ribosomal RNA". It matches the Rfam family "Bacterial small subunit ribosomal RNA", at positions 57 to 305 of the family's 1533-position model. The record is from RNAcentral.
GCAAGUCGAGCGGUAACAUUUCAAAAGCUUGCUUUUGAAGAUGACGAGCGGCGGACGGGUGAGUAAUGCCUAGGAAAUUGCCCUGAUGUGGGGGAUAACCAUUGGAAACGAUGGCUAAUACCGCAUGAUGCCUACGGGCCAAAGAGGGGGACCUUCGGGCCUCUCGCGUCAGGAUAUGCCUAGGUGAGAUUAGCUAGUUGGUGAGGUAAUGGCUCACCAAGGCGACGUCCCCUAGCUGGUCUGAGAGGAUGAUC